GUGACACUUUGACACGAACACAA
RNAcentral lists this non-coding RNA (23 nucleotides) under Cricetulus griseus (Chinese hamster). The record is from RNAcentral. Lineage: Eukaryota; Metazoa; Chordata; Mammalia; Rodentia; Cricetidae.